This 543-nucleotide long non-coding RNA is filed under the name Vitis vinifera (wine grape). RNAcentral describes it as "long non-coding RNA (VVIN_LNC005189)". Lineage: Eukaryota; Viridiplantae; Streptophyta; Magnoliopsida; Vitales; Vitaceae. The record is from RNAcentral.
CUACAAUGGAACUCCAGGUACAAGAGAUGCCAGUAAUGGAGCACCCCACUAGUGCUCAACGGCAGCUGACCGACAAGGACACCAUGAAUAGCCCGAUGGUAAUAAAUGACCACAUUUUCAUCAAUCAACAGAAUGGAAAUCAAAUUGAAAUGUUAGAGGGUUGUGUAUUCGAUGGUGUUGACAUAACCGAAGCCACAGCCUUGGCAGAUGAGGACAUAGAAACAUACCUGAUUGACAAUCCUGCAGCAGAAUUCCCCACACAAGAGAUGCAGGUGAUGAACCACCAAGGCAGUGUGCAAGGGCAGGUUACCAACCACGACACCAUGAACCAUGAAACAAUGUACCCUGAUCAAGCAACAAUAUGAAUAAUGACUACCACAUCAUCAUUGGUAUGUGGGAUGAAGAUCGGACUGUAGAGAAUAACACCACAGCGGAGUUACCAGAAAAAUCUCGGUUGCUGGAAAUAGCUAGGGUUUCAAGUCGAUAAACCUACCUAGUUCCUCCAACCUACAGGCAUACAAGAGUUUUUAGGUUUUCUUCUCG